This 763-nucleotide ribosomal RNA is filed under the name uncultured bacterium. RNAcentral's name for it is "bacterial SSU rRNA". It matches the Rfam family "Bacterial small subunit ribosomal RNA", at positions 99 to 873 of the family's 1533-position model. The record is from RNAcentral.
CGAACGGGUGAGUAACACGUGAGUAACCUGCCCUUCACUCUGGGAUAAGCGCUGGAAACGGUGUCUAAUACUGGAUAUGACCCUUACAGGCAUCUGUUGGGGGUGGAAAGAUUUAUCGGUGAAGGAUGGGCUCGCGGCCUAUCAGGUAGUUGGUGAGGUAACGGCUCACCAAGCCGACGACGGGUAGCCGGCCUGAGAGGGUGGCCGGCCACACUGGGACUGAGACACGGCCCAGACUCCUACGGGAGGCAGCAGUGGGGAAUAUUGCACAAUGGGCGAAAGCCUGAUGCAGCAACGCCGCGUGAGGGAUGACGGCCUUCGGGUUGUAAACCUCUUUUAGUAGGGAAGAAGCGUAAGUGACGGUACCUGCAGAAAAAGCACCGGCUAACUACGUGCCAGCAGCCGCGGUAAUACGUAGGGUGCAAGCGUUGUCCGGAAUUAUUGGGCGUAAAGAGCUCGUAGGCGGCUUGUCGCGUCUGCUGUGAAAACCCGGAGCUCAACUCCGGGCCUGCAGUGGGUACGGGCAGGCUAGAGUGCGGUAGGGGAGAUUGGAAUUCCUGGUGUAGCGGUGGAAUGCGCAGAUAUCAGGAGGAACACCGAUGGCGAAGGCAGAUCUCUGGGCCGCUACUGACGCUGAGGAGCGAAAGCAUGGGGAGCGAACAGGAUUAGAUACCCUGGUAGUCCAUGCCGUANACGUUGGGAACUAGAUGUAGGGCCUGUUCCACGGGUUCUGUGUCGUAGCUAACGCAUUAAGUUCCCCGCC